RNAcentral lists this long non-coding RNA (947 nucleotides) under Mus musculus (house mouse). RNAcentral describes it as "long non-coding RNA chr5:81535725-81536672". Lineage: Eukaryota; Metazoa; Chordata; Mammalia; Rodentia; Muridae. The record is from RNAcentral.
GAGGGCACAGUAGAUGAGUUGUUACAGCUCGUUGUCCUUCAUACUUCCUCCUCUUUAGGAGGUUACCUUUGUGGUGUCCUUUACUAAGGUAUUCAAAAGGCAGAGGGAUUUUUUGCUUGUAAUACUUCCUGAAAAGACCAAAUUGGUUGGUUUUUAAGCCAAUUAAUCUAAGAAGAGAACACCUGUCUCUCCUUAAAUAAUGAGUCCGAUGUUUUCCCAUGAAUACAUUUUGGGAAAUAAUGCUGAUCAGUGGAGCCAUAAUUCAUUUCUAGUCAUCUAUUUCUUCCAAUUUGAAACAAAUAAAAGCUUCCUGGUCGCGAGGCUCCUGGGAAGAAAAAACAAGCUGAUUGUUCUCUUGCCUGUGGAGAUAUUCUCCGUGAAGAGGAGCUCAGAUGUACUUGGCAGUGAUUGACUUGUUUAAAGACGAGGGUAGCAGUGUUAGAAGAGGCACUUGUUCAUUUUUAAGUCGCGGAGCCUAAAUGAGGUAGACUGUUAGAAGGCUCCUUCAGUCUUCUGUCGUGUUUGCUUGUGAACUAAUGACCAUUCUGGGCGUAGAUAUUAACUGCAAGUUGUUCUGAAGAAACUCACUGCUGUUGCACGCAUAUGAAUAACGCCUUAUCUCUCAACUGCCUUUCACGCUAAAGCAGCUCAGGAAAUUCCUAUGCAAUGAAUUAUUUUACAUGAAUAGUUUUAUCUCGGCCUACAGAUGAGAAAUUGGAGAAACGAUUCACAGGAUAUUUCUGUACAGUAAUAGAAAAAUAAUAGCUAUUUUCUUUUUAAAAAAUGAAAUAAAAUAAGUUUUGUGCCCAUAAGGUUUAGAAAGAACACAUCAAGAAUGGUUAGAGACAAAGCACUGAUUAGAAUUCCUGUGUCUCAUUCCUUUUGGUUCAGACAUGACCUUGAGCAAAUCGUUUGAAAUCAUCUCCAUUUCACUGGAUAUGUUAUGC